This 478-nucleotide ribosomal RNA is filed under the name uncultured bacterium. RNAcentral's name for it is "partial 16S ribosomal RNA". It matches the Rfam family "Bacterial small subunit ribosomal RNA", at positions 28 to 507 of the family's 1533-position model. The record is from RNAcentral.
GAUGAACGCUGGCGGCGUGCUUAACACAUGCAAGUCGAACGGGAAGUACUUUAUUGCACCUUCGGUCGAUUUAAUUUAAUUCUGGUGUCGGUCGGGUGAGUAACGCGUGGGUAACCUGCCUUAUACAGGGGGAUAACAGUCAGAAAUGGCUGCUAAUACCGCAUAAGCGCACACAGCUGCAUGGCUCGGUUCGGAAAACUCCGGUGAUAUAAAAUGGACCCGCGUUGUAUACGCUUGUUGGGGGGGUAAAGGCCCACAAAGGCGAGGUUCCAUAGCCGGGAUGAGAGGCGGAGUCGAGACAUCUAGAGGGAGCCACAGCCGAGAAUCCUACGCGAGGGAGCAGUGCGGAAUACUGCACAAUGGGGGAAAUGCUGAUGCACUGACGCCGCGUGAAGGAAGAAGUAUCGCGGUAUGUAAACUUCUAUCAGCCGGGAAGAUAGUGACGGUACCUGAAGAAGAAGCCCCGGCUAACUACGUG